Long non-coding RNA from Orbicella faveolata, 415 nucleotides. Lineage: Eukaryota; Metazoa; Cnidaria; Anthozoa; Scleractinia; Merulinidae. The record is from RefSeq and is a predicted model, not a curated record.
UAUGUUCAAAAAUUCACCGAGGAACAAGUUAAAACAGAGAAGUUUGUUGUCACAGUUCACGCUGUCAAACAGAGAAGAAGUCGGCUGCGAUCCCUCAAAUGGGCGACUGAGUUUUACAAGUUUUUGAAGAACAACUAUCUAACCAGAAUGACUCGUUGUGUGGUCUAUAAACCCUCUUUUAAGCUGAGAGCAUUGGUGAUCCUUUCACACCCGUUCUUUUCAAACUGCAUGAAGGAAAAGAUUUUCAUCGUGAAAAGUCACAGAGACUUCGCCAAAGCCCAAGGUCUACCAGAGGGCGAUCCAGUCUCAUAGUCCAAACAACGUCAAAAUAACUGAUGUUCCUAAACUUCGAUGUUAUCUCAAUUGAACUGAAAUUUAUCUGCUUAACGACGGUAUCAAAACAGACCCACUGUAC